This is a long non-coding RNA of Drosophila innubila, 302 nucleotides long. RefSeq lists it as uncharacterized. Lineage: Eukaryota; Metazoa; Arthropoda; Insecta; Diptera; Drosophilidae. The record is from RefSeq and is a predicted model, not a curated record. The transcript has 2 exons.
UCUAAAUUUGUUUUUGUGGACACACUGUGAUCAGUCGGUGGUUGAAAGCAGUCAGUCAAGUGCAAGAAGCAGCGGGCGACGACGACGAAGUUCUUUUUACCGCUGCGUAAACAAUAAUUUAGUUUGUUGAUAAGAUAUAUUCUUGGCAUAAACAGCUUUUAACAAUUAAAACGCGAAUUGUGUUGAUUCAUGUGUGUAAACAGUGAAAAGAGCGGCCAAAGUCAGCUCGAAUUAAAGGGCAACUUUCAUUGAAUUAACCAAAAAAAAAAAAGAAAAGAAUAAAACAAAACAACUGUUAAAAA